RNAcentral lists this long non-coding RNA (367 nucleotides) under Nicotiana benthamiana. Its description in RNAcentral is "long non-coding RNA (NBEN_LNC015424)". The record is from RNAcentral. Lineage: Eukaryota; Viridiplantae; Streptophyta; Magnoliopsida; Solanales; Solanaceae.
UGGGCCUUUGCCAUUAACAUACUGUUCCUGGUAAUAUGCACCCAUAAUUUUCAACAACGUGUUAGGAUGAUAGCUUGAGUGUGUUGUACCUUGAAUGUAUGCUCACUAUGGUACUUGGUAAUAUAAAGCCUAUCAGAACUCUUGUACUUUAAAGUAUGUAACUUUUACGGGCAUCUCACAUCUCGGCAUGCUACCGAAGUUAAUAUAUUGUUACCCUUCUUCAUAUAAAACGUAAAAUGCAUUUUCACAUAAGCAACCUCCAACCAACCAUUUCAUUAGAUCCAAUAUAUUAUUGAAACAUUUCCCAAGAAAAAAAAACAUGUACCAUCAAGAUGGUUGUGCUGUGUAGCUAGCGAGUCCACAAAGC